UCCAGACUCCUACGGGAGGCAGCAGUGGGGAAUAUUGCACAAUGGGGGAAACCCUGAUGCAGCGACGCCGCGUGAGUGAAGAAGUAUUUCGGUAUGUAAAGCUCUCUCAGCAGGGAAGAUAAUGACGGUACCUGACUAAGAAGCCCCGGCUAACUACGUGCCAGCAGCCGCGGUAAUACGUAGGGGGCAAGCGUUAUCCGGAUUUACUGGGUGUAAAGGGUGCGUAGGUGGCAGGGCAAGUCAGAUGUGAAAGCCCGGGGCUCAACCCCGGUACUGCAUUUGAAACUGUCCAGCUGGAGUGCAGGAGAGGUAAGCGGAAUUCCUAGUGUAGCGGUGAAAUGCGUAGAUAUUAGGAGGAACACCAGUGGCGAAGGCGGCUUACUGGACUGUAACUGACACUGAGGCACGAAAGCGUGGGGAGCAAACAGGAUUAGAUACCCUCGUA
Molecule: ribosomal RNA, 445 nt
Filed under: uncultured bacterium
Lineage: Bacteria
Description: bacterial SSU rRNA
Rfam family: Bacterial small subunit ribosomal RNA
Source: RNAcentral